AUUUUUAUAGCUUAUAAUUAGAGCAAUACACUGAAGAUGUAUAGGAAGAAUUAACUUAAAAAUA
Molecule: transfer RNA, 64 nt
Filed under: Tituria sagittata
Lineage: Eukaryota; Metazoa; Arthropoda; Insecta; Hemiptera; Cicadellidae
Description: tRNA-Phe
Source: RNAcentral